This 76-nucleotide small RNA is filed under the name Pseudomonas oryzihabitans. RNAcentral's name for it is "sX9 sRNA". It matches the Rfam family "Xanthomonas sRNA sX9". Lineage: Bacteria; Pseudomonadati; Pseudomonadota; Gammaproteobacteria; Pseudomonadales; Pseudomonadaceae. The record is from RNAcentral.
AUGUACCACUCGUACACUGCGGUUCCUGCGCGCCGCGCGCACCCGCCUGACAACCGCUCGCUACGUUUUAUGAGCU